Molecule: ribosomal RNA, 400 nt
Filed under: uncultured bacterium
Lineage: Bacteria
Description: bacterial SSU rRNA
Rfam family: Bacterial small subunit ribosomal RNA
Source: RNAcentral
ACGCUGGCGGCGUGGAUAAGAAUGCAAGUCGAACGAAGAAUCUCAAUAGCUUGCUAAUGAGAUUUUUAGUGGCGGACGGGUUAGUAACACGUGAGAUACCUACCCUUUAGACAGGAAUAGCCCAUGGAAACGUGGAAUAAUACCUGAUAGUCUCUACGGAGUAAAUGAUGCCUUUUGGUGUCGCUAAAGGAUGGGCUCGCGGCCUAUCAGUUUGUUGGUGAGGUAAAGGCUCACCAAGACUACGACGGGUAUCUGGUCUGAGAGGACGAUCAGCAACACUGGAACUGAGACACGGUCCAGACACCUACGGGUGGCAGCAGUCGAGAAUCAUUCACAAUGGAGGAAACUCUGAUGGUGCAACGCCGCGUGGAGGAUGACGGCCCUAGGGUUGUAAACUCCU